GGGCGUAAAGCGCAUGCAGGUGGUUUGUUAAGUCAGAUGUGAAAGCCCGGGGCGUCAACCUCGGAAUAGCAUUUGAAACUGGCAGACUAGAGUACUGUAGAGGGGGUAGAAUUUCAGGUGUAGCGGUGAAAUGCGUAGAGAUCUGAAGGAAUACCGGUGGCGAAGGCGGCCCCCUGGACAGAUACUGACACUCAGAUGCGAAAGCGUGGGGAGCAAACAGGAUUAGAUACCCUGGUAG
RNAcentral lists this ribosomal RNA (238 nucleotides) under uncultured bacterium. RNAcentral's name for it is "partial 16S ribosomal RNA". It matches the Rfam family "Bacterial small subunit ribosomal RNA", at positions 556 to 793 of the family's 1533-position model. The record is from RNAcentral.